RNAcentral lists this non-coding RNA (32 nucleotides) under Echinostoma caproni. Lineage: Eukaryota; Metazoa; Platyhelminthes; Trematoda; Plagiorchiida; Echinostomatidae. The record is from RNAcentral.
UGACGAGUCCCAAACAGGACGAAACAACUGUC